UGGAUUGAUUAGGGCGAAAAUGCAGUUUGUCUGUGACCUUCAAACAUUUUGUGAGCCGUCUGUUUUCACGCGACUGGGAGCAAAUGGCGCACAAGAGGUUUUGGAUGUUACAGCCAAAGCACAUUUUCGCCCUAAUCAAUUCC
This 143-nucleotide microRNA precursor is filed under the name Trypanosoma vivax Y486. Lineage: Eukaryota; Euglenozoa; Kinetoplastea; Trypanosomatida; Trypanosomatidae. The record is from RNAcentral.